RNAcentral lists this ribosomal RNA (1050 nucleotides) under uncultured archaeon. RNAcentral describes it as "bacterial SSU rRNA". It matches the Rfam family "Archaeal small subunit ribosomal RNA", at positions 88 to 1143 of the family's 1478-position model. The record is from RNAcentral.
GCUCAGUAACACGUGGAUAAUCUGCCCUAUGGUGGAGGAUAACCCCGGGAAACUGGGGAUAAUACUCCAUAAGUCAGGAGUACUGGAAUGUCUCCUAACUGAAAGUUGCGGCGCCAUAGGAUGAAUCUGCGGCCGAUUAGGUAGUUGUUGGGGUAACGGCCCAACAAGCCCGUAAUCGGUACGGGUUGUGGGAGCAAGAGCCCGGAGAUGGAAUCUGAGACACGAUUCCAGGCCCUACGGGGCGCAGCAGGCGCGAAAACUUUACAAUGCAGGAAACUGUGAUAAGGGAACCCCGAGUGCCCGUACACGCGGGCUGUCCCGGUGUUUAAAACACAUCGGAAGAAAGGGCCGGGCAAGACCGGUGCCAGCCGCCGCGGUAAUACCGGCGGCUCGAGUGGUGACCACUUUUAUUGGGCUUAAAGCGUUCGUAGCUUGAUUUUUAAGUCUCUUGGGAAAUCUCACGGCUUAACUGUGAGGCGUCUAAGAGAUACUGGGAAUCUAGGGACCGGGAGAGGUAAGAGGUACUUCAGGGGUAGAAGUGAAAUUCUGUAAUCCUUGAGGGACCACCGAUGGCGAAGGCAUCUUACCAGAACGGCUUCGACAGUGAGGAACGAAAGCUGGGGGAGCGAACGGGAUUAGAUACCCCGGUAGUCCCAGCCGUAAACUAUGCGCGUUAGGUGUGCCUGUAACUACGAGUUACCGGGGUGCCGAAGUGAAAACGUGAAACGUGCCGCCUGGGAAGUACGGUCGCAAGGCUGAAACUUAAAGGAAUUGGCGGGGGAGCACCACAACGGGUGGAGCCUGCGGUUUAAUUGGACUCAACGCCGGGCAGCUCACCGGAUAGGACAGCGGAAUGAUAGCCGGGCUGAAGACCUUGCUUGACCAGCUGAGAGGAGGUGCAUGGCCGUCGUCAGUUCGUACUGUGAAGCAUCCUGUUUAGUCAGGCAACGAGCGAGACCCACGCCAACAGUUGCUAGCAUGUUCUCCGGAAUGAUGAGGACACUGUUGGGACCGCCUCUGCUAAAGAGGAGGAAGGAGUGGACGACGGUA